UGAGGAAUAUUGCACAAUGGGCGCAAGCCUGAUGCAGCGACGCCGCGUGUGGGAUGAAGGGGCUACGCCUCGUAAACCACUGUAGCCCGGGACGAAAAACGCCUUAGAGGCGUUAGACGGUACCGGGAAAGUAAGGGUCGGCUAACUACGUGCCAGCAGCAGCGGUAAUACGUAGGACCCAAGCGAUGUCCGGAUUUACUGGGUGUAAAGGGUGCGCAGGCGGAUGGGUAAGUCAGGGGUGAAAGUCUGCAGCUUAACUGUAGAAUUGCCUUGUAUACUGCUCAAGUUGAGUGUGGGAGAGUUUGAUGGAAUUCCAGGUGUAGCAGUGAAAUGCGUAGAUAUCUGGAAGAACACCAGUGGCGAAGGCGGUCAACUGGCCCAUAACUGACGCUCAUGCAC
This 399-nucleotide ribosomal RNA is filed under the name uncultured bacterium. RNAcentral describes it as "bacterial SSU rRNA". It matches the Rfam family "Bacterial small subunit ribosomal RNA", at positions 355 to 754 of the family's 1533-position model. The record is from RNAcentral.